This 7023-nucleotide long non-coding RNA is filed under the name Setaria italica (foxtail millet). Its description in RNAcentral is "long non-coding RNA (SITA_LNC006880)". The record is from RNAcentral. Lineage: Eukaryota; Viridiplantae; Streptophyta; Magnoliopsida; Poales; Poaceae.
GCAUAAAUAAAAUAAGUUCAUCAUCUUUGUUCAUUAGAACCACCAUAACCCAAGUAUAGCAGCUAAGCAUAGCUACCCAACAGAAAGGUAAACCCAGGUUGGCAAGGAAUAAUCAUAAAAACUAGGCAAACCUUAAUAGGACCCAACAAAUUUAAUGCAAGCAUAUGCAAUAGUGAUUAAACAAAGUUAUUAGGACAAAAGCACAAGGACACACUUGCCUUUCUCCAACGAAAAGUUACUCUUACUUCUCUUCGGCUCUUGUUCACUUGAAACUCUUAAUCUUCAAAGCUUUCGAACAGCGAUCCUUCUACUCGAAGCAAUCACCGGCACAAUCAUACAAGUAAACAAACAAAUAAAACUAAGAGCAGUACACCAAAACAAAAGGAAAGCUUUAAAAGAGCGUACUAACGACAAGGCUCGAUCUAAGGUCACGCGAACAUAAGGAACACUUAAAACGGAACUAUGGUUGAAAAGAUAAAGCUAUCGAGAGUUUUGAAUUAUAAAAGAAAGAUAAGAGCUACAAGCUUUAUUUAUUUUAGUUGAGAAAAGCAAUGUAAAGAUAUUUUAGAGAAAUAUCCUUAGUUAGAAUUAAUCAAGUCAUAUUUAUAUUUUCAUAAGAAAAGACGGUGUAAAGCUGACUCCAAUUUUAUUUAUAAAUAUUUGAGUACAAUUUAAGCAAAUUAAACAUUUAAUUUAAAAAUAAGAUACAUGUAGACAUCUAAGCGUAUAGCUUUACAUCUCGAGUUCAACUAAGUAGAUUAAAUUAAAAAACAUUUAUAUUUAUAUUAGCCAAAUUAAUAUUUAAUUAUGAAAACUCGAGAUAUAACCUAUACAGAUUUUAUUUAGAAAACAAAUUGAAUAAACAUUAAUCAAAUUGAAUUUAAUUUAUGAAACGCCGAGGUAUAACUCUAAGUGGCUUUUAAUUGGAAGAAUUAUUUAGAUAGGCAUUAAUCCAAUUAACUUUAGUUUAUGAAAAACCGAUAUAUAACCUAAUUGGCUUUUAUUUAGAAGAGGGUAUGAAGUAGGUAUUAAUCAAAUUAACAAUUAUGAUGAAAAAUGAUGUUUAACACUAAAUAGAUUUUAUUUAGAGAAGAACUCAUUUGUCAGGCAUUAAUCAAUUUUAAUAUAAAUUUUAUUUUCAAAAACAUGUGUGAAGGAAAACAUUACCACUAACGUGUAAUUUACAUCAUUAUGAAUCUAACGCAACUUGAACGGACAAAAACGGAAUUAAAAUGUAAAAUCUAUGGGUUAAACGGCGUUGCAGGGGUCUAAACGUAAUUAACCGUAGACUUGGAGGGUUAGCAAGGAAAUUUUGCAAGACACCAGGAAUAGUGCUCGCGAAAAGGUGAAAACUCGGGGUUAGGUCUGCAAAAGGUCAAGGCUUGGAUUAGAUUGAAAGAAUGCAAGAAUUACAGGGGCCUCACUGAAAGAUUUACAAGACACAAGAAUUAAGAAAAAGAAAAUAGGAGAGGUCAGGGGCUAGAUUGAAAAGUGGCACCUCAUCUUCUUCCUCACGCCAGGAGCAUGGCGCAGCUCCUGGCCGGCGGCCUGCCGGGGCUCCGGUGCGGCGGGGACUCGGGUGGGUGGUCCAGGCGGUGGUGGCCGGGCUGCUGGCCCCGACGGUGAUGUGCGGGCGGCAUCUCGGCCAGGAGCAGGCGGCGGACAGAGGGGCGCCUGCGAGCUGCGAGCAGAAACAGAAGGAGUCUGUUGCAACUGUUGCAGAAACAAGGAAAAGAGAGAGAAAGAGGGGAUCGUCGGAAACGAAGUCCGAUCUCGCGCAUGAACGGCAAAAUGGAACGAUAUCGACGAGACGAAUAAGAUGGUGUGCUCACUUUCGACCAGAGAUGAAUAAUGGCGGCGGAAAAGCUCGCCGGAGUUGGGGAAGACGACGGAGCCGACAUCGGAUUCAUGCAAUCCACCACACCACGGCGUAGAGCUUGAAGAGAGGAACUCCAUGGUGGUGUCGGUUUUCGCCGGAAGUCCACGGUUUCGCCGGAAAAGCUCGCCGGAGUUUGACGAAGACCGAACUUUGACUUCAGAUCUACGGAGUUAGGAGAGGUAACUCGUGAAAAGGUUUGUAGUGAAAUCCUCGCGUCGAGACGAACGCGGUGAUAUAUAUAUAGGCCACACUCGGAAAAAGAUAUUUUCGAGUUGACUUUUUAUUUUCAGAAUUUCUGAUUUUAUUUAUCUGCGCGAAAACAAUUCCAGAAAUAGCUGGACUCAUUUUCUAAGGUGAGAAAAAUACCUAGAAAAUUCCGAAAAAUCUGAGAUAAAUCUCAGAGAUGAAUUGGGAUGCAAGGAAUCCAAAUAAAAUACUUGGAGCUCGUGAAAAGGAUUCUAGAGCCUUCCAAAAAUUGGAUUUAGCUCUAGGAAAUGGAGAAUAAAUUCCAGAAAAAGAUGGAAAAUCCUCACAAGGAUCUGGGCAACGUCUAAACGCAUUUUUCAAACUUGUGCACUCAAGAAACACCAAGAUGCAGCGACAUGAAUGCACAGACAUAGAACAACAAUAUUUAAUUUAUAAAAGCAAAUAAUUAUUUUUCCUAUACUAAAUUUCCUGUAAAGAAAAUAAUUGUUGGGAAAAUUUUAAAAUUAUGAGAAAAUCAUUGUUUAUUUAUUCCUUUUAUUCACAUCCUGAAAUUCGGAAAUUUCAGGGUGUGACAACACUACCCCCCUUAACAAGAAUCUCGUCCCGAGAUUCGCAAAGGCUAGCAAGAGACAAAGGUUUAGGUGGGUAGCAUCCAACACUUAUUAGCUUCUUCCUAGAUCGUUCAUCCUUACGUAAGCUUCUCAAUCAUGCUUCUUUAUGCUUCACUACAUCACAUAAAACACUUUAGGGAUACUUAGUCUAAUUCCUCUUUUAAGUAUCCUUUCCUUUCCUCUGCUUCUUUGGCCCAUCUUUGAAGAAUUUUCUUCAUUUCUUGGUAAAGUGAUUUGAAUAGAGCUGAAUUGCUUCCCUCUGGCUCGACUAUCAUCCUUCAAGUCUUCAUACACAUCCUUUAGUCUUCUUCUCCAUCUGGUCCAAACGCUUCUUGGAACAUUGUCUGAUGAAAUGUCUCUCUUAUUUGCAGUAGAAACAUGUUAUUCUUGCUUUGGUACUUUGGCAACUAGAUGUGGUAUGGGAAUUGGCAUUGGAAAUUGGUGGCAUUCUUUCUUGACUGAGGCAUCCUAAUUAUUUGUCCUGACAAAGAGGCCAACUGAUGUUGUCGGUUUGAAUGCAGGGCUAUUGGAUCCUUGGCCCUGGGGUUGAUCAUCUUUCUCUUUUGCACACCAACUAACAAGAUGUUCGUUCUCUCCACACUUGAGGCAAUAUAUUUUGGCUCCAACGGACCUGGUCCACUUACACUUUAUUGGAUAGUUAUUUGUAUAAUGGCCUUCUUCACCGCAUCUGAAGCAUAGUCUUUUAUUACAUCCUUCUUGUCUUCCUUUCUGCUCCAUGGUAGCUAUCGGUGGAAUAGCUUGCGCAUUGGGAUUCUUCUUGAUGGGGUUGCCACGUGGAUGGUGAACAACUUUAGGCUAUAGUUGGUGGGAACUAGGCUGAGUACUAUUAUCUGCCAAUGGUUGUGGUAACUCCAUCUUCUUUUGAUUUGCUUUACUAGUUGGCUUCUUGGCUUGCCUACUCCUCCAGGGCUGAAAUUCUUUGAAAGAGAUACUCCAACCCUCAAAGUUCAUAGUGUGAGUACUAUCUUCAUCUUGAGUGACUUCCUCUUGGUCUAGCCCUUGGGCAUACAACUUCCUCUUCUUAUUGAUGUCCAAAUAAUAAUGUUGUCUAGCUUCAACUGUCAUUAAGCUAUCUUCUUCCUGGAGACAUGGAAGACCAUGGUGUUCACAACACUGGCGUGUUCCCAGAAUCUUAACAUCCUCAUGUUGCCUCUCCAUUUCUAGCUCUGGCGCUAUACGGCUUGGCUUGUUCCUUUGACGGUUCCAUGCUUCGGCAACUUGCCUCUUCAGUGGUCCAGUAGAAAUUCUAACUUUGGUCAUUUCCAUGUUAUGAGGGGUUGAUGUGUCAAUCUGUAUCCUUCCUUGCAAGACUUGAGCCUGCAUGGUUAAUAGCUUCUCGUUGUCGAACGGUGGUGGAACAGACGGAACCUGAUGGUCAUCACUAGUGAUAGGGCUGUGGUUCUGAGGAAGUGAGGCUUGCUCUGUGAUAUACUGAUGGAUAUUGACCAUGGUUUGAGACAUUGCUUCUAAAACAUGGGUUUGUGUUGCCAUAUACUCUAACAUCUUGCGUUCGAAUGAUGCGGCUACAGGUGGAAUGUUAAGAUCUCCUUCAUUGGCCCUAUCUUCAUGAUUUUCAUUGGGACUCGCCAGUUGAUUCGGUGAUAACGAUAGGAUCAGAAGAAAAUAGGAAAUGGAUAAAAUUGCAGAACAAGAUAGAGCACUUCAUGAUACCUUCAUCUUUUCUUGGGUUGUCAUCCGAGUAAGGUAGAAGGAAGGAUAGAAAGCAGCAAAGUGGCAAGUAAACUAGGGUAGGGCCUUCUUUUCUUCGACUUGCUUCUAUUCCGACGGUGAUAGUGGCGAUAGCCUCUGCUUGUUGAUAUUGGUGUUGCCUUCACUCUCUUCUUGAUGUCCAUCAGAAUUGGGAGAUAGAAAGAAAAAUAACAAGGAUGUGGGAGGUACAAGCAGACUCGAAGAGAGAAAAGAAAACAAAGAGGUGGGAGACAACAAGUUCCUUAUGGUAGAGUGGAUAGUCUUCCAUCUUUGCUUGUCGCGAGUAGAAUCUCGGUGCUUUCUUCAUCUUCUUUGAUUCUCGUAAUCAUCAUUAGAGUAAGAUGGAGAUCAAAGUAAAGCCUUCUAUUCUUCAACUUGCUUCUAGCGAGAUGGUGGUGGUGAUGUUAACUCUUGCUUGUUGACGUUGGUGUUGACUUUAGUUCUCUCUUUUCUGAUGCCCUUCAUUGGUUCGGGUAGAAAGGAAUGGAUGACAAGGAUAUGGGAGAUUCAAAAGAAGAACCCAGCUAGGCAACUGAUGUCAUUGUAGAUAGAAGACCCACAAUACACCAACAAUCAUUACAAAGAAACAAAUCAGACAAUUUCAUAAAGACAAGCAUCAUCAUGCAAACACAAAAUUCCACCAGUCAACACAGAGUCAAGAAACGAUGCUAAACAUUGUUAAUAAGGCUGCAAGGGGUACUCCUAAGCAGAUGUUGUUUGGUAAGGCUUCAACAUGCUUGGUGUAGGUACCUUCGACUUGUCAAGCGUCGACUCCAGCUUUUUGAUAGUGUUGGCGGUGGGGAUGGCAAAAUCUUCUCUAGGUGGUGAAUAGGUAGCUCCAUUCUUCAGAUGUCUUGAGCAGGCUUUAAGAUAGGUGGCAUGGAUCAUCUAGAUAUUUUUGAAUAAAAUGAGACAUUUUGGGAAUCAAAAGUCAAGGAAAAGAUUCCAAGGUAGCAUUUAUUUGAAAAGCAACGAGAGGUACAAUGGGGUAGAUGGAUAUACUGAAAAUAAAGUUAAGGAAGAGAUAGGUUUACAAGGAUAAGUAUGUAAGGAAAAUAUUAAGGAGAUAAAUGAACAGGGGAUGAGAGAGUAGCAAUAUCACUAAGAAAUCAAGGAGGUGUAUUGCAUCAAACAGGUAAGAUCAUUCAUCAAGAAGGAGAUGCAUGAUCAAGAUCAAGCAGUGAUCAAGGAGAGAGGAAAUAAAUAGACAAGGAUUGAGGGUCUAACAUUUGCAAGACAAGAAGUGCAAAUGAAAAGAGCUCAAGUUAUCAUGGAGGAUUGAGAAAAGAAAAUGAUCAAGGAGUGAGAAUAUUUUUCAGAAAGGUCAAGGAUAAGGCAGGAAUUGUUUAUAUAGUAAAACAGACCUUAGGAAGUGACCAUUGCUAUCUAGGCUUACGUCCUACAGUCGAUACGGCUCUGAUACCACUUCUGUCACACCCGGUUUUAAGGACAAAACCAAGUGCUACCUAUAUGUAUGCCAGGAUCAAGUUUCAUACAUAUAGUGACAUCAUUAGUGAAUAACAGCAACAGUAUCACGUAAAAAGAUACAAAGACUUACGAAACCAUCAGAGAUAUACAGCUUAAUUAUGGAAACGGAGGCUCCAAACUUCACAGGCAAUCGACUGGGGUUGCGUAUGCCUAGGACUCAGCACCAUCUUCACAAUAACUUCAUAGCAGCUUCUUCUUCUGAGCAACGUUGUUUAUAGCAAGGGUGAGUACUUGUCGUACUCAGCAAGUGUGAGGAGAAUAUGAAUGCAAGGCUUAAACAAGGAAAGGCUGACCGGUUGACUGCAUUAAGCAUUUUUAGUUGGUCAAAUUUUAUUAGCACCUGAUUACUAAGGUAUAAGUAUAUACCAACCCACAAUUAAUAGAGACAUAACCAUAAGCCAUAAGCAUAUGGCACAACCAUAACCAUAGCAUAAACCACAAUUUAAAUCCAUCUUCAAGUAUAUUACUCAUGUGAGGGUCCAGGCCGCUCUUAACCGUGAGCACGGCUGAUCGAUCAGUUUUACACUCUGCACAGGUGGCACAUAUUUACCCACAAGUCGCGUAAAAGUUCAAAAGAACUUUAGACCCAACCAUGCUUGUGCUGAUCAGGCACAAUACCACACUUCCAAGGUGUGAUUGCAUAGGGACGGUACAAGGCCUUUACAAAGAUUCACUAGUCAGUGGUAACCCGCUAAGGUUUCGGUGUCUGGCGCGCACCACCCAUCCCAGGUAAAAUGCAACGACUCAGUCCCCCCUCUUGCCUCAUCACGAGUAAGGUCACCCCAGACUAAGGUUUCUAAUUAAUCAGCCAAGACCAGAGCCAUUUAGUCUUGUGGUAGCACUGUUUUCCUGGGUGGUUCUCCAUGUUCUAAUUAACAUAAUGAUCUUGAAUUAAAGAAAUGUGUAGCAUAAAUAAAAUAAGUUCAUCAUCUUUGUUCAUUAGAACCACCAUAACCCAAGUAUAGCAGCUAAGCAUAGCUACCCAACAGAAAGGUAAACCCAGGUUGGCAAGGAAUAAUCAUAAAAACUAGGCACACCUUAAUAGGACCCAACAAAUUUAAUGCAAGCAUAUGCAAUAGUGAUUAAACAAAGUUAUUAGGACAAAAG